Molecule: non-coding RNA, 26 nt
Filed under: Mus musculus (house mouse)
Lineage: Eukaryota; Metazoa; Chordata; Mammalia; Rodentia; Muridae
Source: RNAcentral
UGCCAUGCACACACAGCUUCCAGAUA